GACGAACGCUGGCGGCGUGUUUAACACAUGCAAGUCGAACGGUAAGGCCCUUCGGGGUACACGAGUGGCGAACGGGUGAGUAACACGUGGGUGAUCUGCCCUGCACUUCGGGAUAAGCCUGGGAAACUUGGUCUAAUACCGGAUAGGACCCUGGGAUGCAUGUCCCGGGGUGGAAAGCUUUUGCGGUGUGGGAUGGGCCCGCGGCCUAUCAGCUUGUUGGUGGGGUGAUGGCCUACCAAGGCGACGACGGGUAGCCGGCCUGAGAGGGUGACCGGCAACACUGGGACUGAGAUACGGCCCAGACUCCUACGGGAGGCAGCAGUGGGGAAUAUUGCACAAUGGGCGCAAGCCUGAUGCAGCGACGCCGCGUGAGGGAUGACGGCCUUCGGGUUGUAAACCUCUUUCAGCACCGACGAAGCGCAAGUGACGGUAGGUGCAGAAGAAGGACCGGCCAACUACGUGCCAGCAGCCGCCGUAA
This 478-nucleotide ribosomal RNA is filed under the name uncultured bacterium. RNAcentral's name for it is "partial 16S ribosomal RNA". It matches the Rfam family "Bacterial small subunit ribosomal RNA", at positions 28 to 523 of the family's 1533-position model. The record is from RNAcentral.